GAACUUUGAAGGAGCCAGUGUGCAAACCUCAGGACAUGUCACAAAUCGCCAAACUAGUAACAGUUCUGCGUGUAAUACAGCCUUUGUCAUUGACCCUGGCCAAAUGGAGGCUUCUGACCGGGACAAGCCAACUAGCACCGCCAAGGCCGACAAUCCAAACGCUGAGAAUAAGGAAGGUGAUGUGGGCAAUGUGAGCGAUGCAGACAGCGUCCAUUCAAACGCAAGUGGAUAUUGUGCCACCAGGCGCUCUCCAAAAUCCAACCAGUUCACAAGCCAUGAAAUGCUGGUAUUAGGUUUGAAGGUGAAGGCCAAACAACAUAGACGAGGCUCAAGAGGAAGGUUUUACAGAGCCAGAAGGAAGCACAG
Liolophura sinensis is the source of this 366-nucleotide long non-coding RNA. RefSeq lists it as uncharacterized. NCBI's taxonomy places the organism in Eukaryota, Metazoa, Mollusca, Polyplacophora, Chitonida, Chitonidae. The transcript is spliced from 3 exons. The record is from RefSeq and is a predicted model, not a curated record.